Molecule: ribosomal RNA, 379 nt
Filed under: uncultured eukaryote
Lineage: Eukaryota
Description: partial 18S ribosomal RNA
Rfam family: Eukaryotic small subunit ribosomal RNA
Source: RNAcentral
CAAUAGCGUAUAUUAAAGGUGUUGCGGUAAAAAAGCUCGUAGUUGGAUUUCUGUUGAGAGCGACCGGUCCAUACCAUGUAUGCGUAUCUGGCUUGCUCUCGGCAUCCUCUCGAUAGACGUUACUGCGCUUGAUUGCGUGGUGCGGAUCUCGGGACUUUUACUUUGAGGAAAUUAGAGUGUUCACGGCAGGCUUUCGCCAGAAUACAUUAGCAUGGAAUAAUACUAUAGGAUCUUGGUUCUAUUUUGUUGGUUUCUAGAAUUGAGAUAAUGAUUAAUAGGGACAAUUGGGGGCAUUCGUAUCAACACGUCAGAGGUGGAAUUCUUGGAUUGUGUUGCGACGAACUACUGCGAAAGCAUUUGCCAAGGAUGUUUUCAUUGA